This 645-nucleotide ribosomal RNA is filed under the name uncultured Campylobacterota bacterium. RNAcentral's name for it is "bacterial SSU rRNA". It matches the Rfam family "Bacterial small subunit ribosomal RNA", at positions 151 to 774 of the family's 1533-position model. The record is from RNAcentral. Lineage: Bacteria; Pseudomonadati; Campylobacterota.
UUGAAAGGGCUGCUAAUACCGCAUAAGGUUGUUUGAUCGCAUGGUUGGACAACUAAAGCAGGGGAUCUUCGGACCUUGCGCUUAGAGAGGGGUUUAUGUCCUAUUAGCUAGUUGGUGGGGUAAAAGCCUACCAAGGCAGUGAUGGGUAGCCGGCCUGAGAGGGUGAACGGUCACACGGGCACUGAGACACGGGCCCGACUCCUACGGGAGGCAGCAGGAAGGAAUAUUGGGCAAUGGGCGAAAGCCUGACCCAGCGACGCCGCGUGGAGGAUAAAGGCCUUCGGGUUGUAAACUCCUAACAAGUGUUAGUAAGGUGCUAUGGUUAAUACCCAUAGUUACUAGAAAAAGGCACAAGAUGAAGUCAUGGCUAACUCCGUGCCAGCAGCCGCGGUAAUACGGAGAUGGCAACCGUUGUUCGGAAUCACUGGGCUUAAAGGGCACGUAGGCGGAAAGAUAAGUUGGGUGUGAAAGCCUCUGGCUUACCCAGAGAACUGCAUUCAAAACUGUCUUUCUUGAGUUCAGGAGGGGAGAGUGGAACUCCUAGUGGAGCGGUGAAAUGCGUUGAUAUUAGGAGGAACGCCGGUGGCGAAAGCGACUCUCUGGCCUGUAACUGACGCUGAGGUGCGAAAGGGAGGGGAGCAAACG